Long non-coding RNA from Mauremys mutica (yellowpond turtle), 247 nucleotides. RefSeq lists it as uncharacterized. Lineage: Eukaryota; Metazoa; Chordata; Testudines; Geoemydidae. The record is from RefSeq and is a predicted model, not a curated record. The transcript is spliced from 3 exons.
CGCUCCAGCUCGUCCCAACCUCCCAUGGGACAGGAGAAAUGGCUGUAGCGGAGCCAGCUCAGGGGCCGGUGACCUUCGAGGAGGUGGCUGUGCAUUUCACCAGGGAAGAGGGGGCUCUGCUGGAACCCACUCAGAGAACCCUCUGCAGAGCCGUCAUGCAGGAGAACUGUGAGAAUGUGACCUCGCUGGGGUUUCCAGUUUCCCAACCCUCUGUGAUCUUCCAGCUGGAAGGAGGGGAAGAGCCGUG